AUGAGAGAUAGAGGUCGCGUAUCACAUCAGUAUCCGGUUGGAUGUGCCAGUCACAGUUGAAUGCCGGCGAAAGGGUGAGACGCCGAAGGAAACCGGGUGCUGGAGUCGGUUUUCUGGGCAUGAAAUGAACAAUUUCAUGACUGUCAUCACACGAUGGAGCGCUAUCCGAAGA
This 172-nucleotide non-coding RNA is filed under the name [Eubacterium] cellulosolvens. RNAcentral's name for it is "Eubacterium cellulosolvens Lysine sequence". It matches the Rfam family "Lysine riboswitch aptamer". From Rfam's summary of the family: Riboswitches are metabolite binding domains within certain messenger RNAs that serve as precision sensors for their corresponding targets. Allosteric rearrangement of mRNA structure is mediated by ligand binding, and this results in modulation of gene expression. Lineage: Bacteria; Bacillati; Bacillota; Clostridia; Eubacteriales; Eubacteriaceae. The record is from RNAcentral.